RNAcentral lists this ribosomal RNA (253 nucleotides) under uncultured bacterium. RNAcentral's name for it is "partial 16S ribosomal RNA". It matches the Rfam family "Bacterial small subunit ribosomal RNA", at positions 57 to 305 of the family's 1533-position model. The record is from RNAcentral.
GCAAGUCGAGGGGUAACAGGAAAAAGCUUGCUUUUUCGCUGACGACCGGCGCACGGGUGCGUAACGCGUAUACAAUCUACCUUUUGCUGAGGGAUAGCCCAGAGAAAUUUGGAUUAAUGCCUCAUAGUAUGUCGACCUCGCAUGAGGAUGAUAUUAAAGGUUACGGCAAAAGAUGAGUAUGCGUUCUAUUAGCUAGAUGGUGUGGUAACGGCACACCAUGGCAACGAUAGAUAGGGGCCCUGAGAGGGGGAUC